Molecule: unclassified non-coding RNA, 289 nt
Filed under: uncultured fungus
Lineage: Eukaryota; Fungi
Description: partial contains small subunit ribosomal RNA, internal transcribed spacer 1, and 5.8S ribosomal RNA
Rfam family: Eukaryotic small subunit ribosomal RNA (bases 1-73)
Source: RNAcentral
GCAAACUUGGUCAUUUAGAGGAAGUAAAAGUCGUAACAAGGUCUCCGUUGGUGAACCAGCGGAGGGAUCAUUAAAAGAGUUGAAAAACUCCCUAAACCCACUGUGAACCUACCCAUAUUUCUUGCUUCGGCAGGCGGCCCCGGGGAGGGGCCACGGCCUUUUAGCUAAGGUGCCUGCCGGGGGUCAAACCUAACUCUGUUGCUGUUGUGUUGCUCUGAGUACCUAAAGUAAAUAAGUCAAAACUUUCAACAACGGAUCUCUUGGUUCUGGCAUCGAUGAAGAACGCAGC